RNAcentral lists this long non-coding RNA (1116 nucleotides) under Meleagris gallopavo (turkey). RNAcentral's name for it is "lncRNA (ENSMGAG00000018657.1)". The record is from RNAcentral. Lineage: Eukaryota; Metazoa; Chordata; Aves; Galliformes; Phasianidae.
AUCUUUUUCCACCCGUAGAGGUAGUGCUGCAGCCUGCAAGUCGGUCAGCGUGUGUGACAUGGUGGUAGUGCAGAGGUUAGUCUGCAGCUUGUAAUAGGAAGCAUUAGGGUGUUGCACUUCAUGUGCAGGGCUGCAUCCUUUUCAAAAGCUUUCUUAGCAGGAAAAUGGUCUGAUUUUUCACAAAAGAAGGGCUAUGAUUAAAGGACAGUCUGCUUCCCUGAUGGACGAUUUUGAUUUAGUAGAGGAGAUCUUUAGAUAACCUAAUGAGGAGAGUUUUGUUUUUGCAGUGGGAAACCAUAGCAACCUGCCACUUUAGAAUGCAUGGUAUAUAAUCUGUCUGUCCUUCAGACAGUAUUUUGCAGUCCAGAAAUAGUCGUUUCCUCAUGUGUGAAUGCAAAAUGUCAGACAAAUGUAGCUGGAGUGACAGUGUGGUCUCUGAGGUAAACAUGAGCCUUGUUGUGCUGUCCGUGUGGUGCUGCACGUUUGGAAAGCAGAUCCCAAAGGAGGACAAAGGUGUUGGUAACUGGAGAUACUUCCAAGAAAUACAUGCAGGAGUCAAAAAGCAGCAAAGCAGAACCAUGGUGUUUAAGGUAGGGUUUAAUGAAUGUAAAUGGCUUUUAUACUUCUGAGUACAAAAUGUCAUUUACUGCUUUUUAACUGUAAUUUUCACUUUCUGAUCAUUGCAGCAAAAACAUGCAGUCUGUGUAAAGCCACUAGUCAGAGAAAGGGAAUCUAGGAUGAACCUGCCUGGUUAUGAAUGCAGUUAUUAAGUAACUAAUUAGCACUGCUGUCUACGCACAUAAGAAAGGAGGGUUGUGUGAGUUUUCCCUGAAUAAUGAACUAAAUAAUGUCAUGCUGUUGUGACUGAUCUUCCCGCUAUGUUGCAGCGUAAUGAAACAAGAAUUUGGCCGAAUGUUUUGAUGUAGAGUGAAAAUGUUAAUGUAAAACUGAACAGUGAGAGUCUUGUGCUGCAGCUCUGGUUGAUUUGCAGUUGAGAGAAAGUAGCACUACUUUUUAACCUCUUAUUUGAGAUGAACCAGACUAAAAGUGUAACACUAGUGGGUUUUAUUUCAUAGAUAAAUGAAAAGUGUUCUAUAGUUUAAAAAAAAUAAAUAA